GCAUGUGCUGUGAGCUCGAUGAGUAGGGCGGGACACGUGGUAUCCUGUCUGAAUAUGGGGGGACCAUCCUCCAAGGCUAAAUACUCCUGACUGACCGAUAGUGAACCAGUACCGUGAGGGAAAGGCGAAAAGAACCCCGGCGAGGGGAGUGAAAAAGAACCUGAAACCGUGUACGUACAAGCAGUGGGAGCCCCACCACCAAAGCAUUCUCUGGUGUUGAAGGCCCUGCAAAGCAGCAUCGCGGUGGCGGAGCGUCGUUUGCGACGCCCAACACACAAAACAAGCGGUGAGUGCUUUGGGGUGGGGUGACUGCGUACCUUUUGUAUAAUGGGUCAGCGACUUAUAUUCUGUAGCAAGGUUAACCGAAUAGGGGAGCCGGAGGGAAACCGAGUCUUAAUUGGGCGUUAAGUUGCAGGGUAUAGACCCGAAACCCGGUGAUCUAGCCAUGGGCAGGUUGAAGGUUGGGUAACACUAACUGGAGGACCGAACCGACUAAUGUUGAAAAAUUAGCGGAUGACCUGUGGCUGGGGGUGAAAGGCCAAUCAAACCGGGAGAUAGCUGGUUCUCCCCGAAAGCUAUUUAGGUAGCGCCUCGUGAAUUCAUCUCCGGGGGUAGAGCACUGUUUCGGCUAGGGGGCCAUCCCGGCUUACCAACCCGAUGCAAACUGCGAAUACCGGAGAAUGUUAUCACGGGAGACACACGGCGGGUGCUAACGUCCGUCGUGAAGAGGGAAACAACCCAGACCGCCAGCUAAGGUCCCAAAGUCAUGGUUAAGUGGGAAACGAUGUGGGAAGGCCCAGACAGCCAGGAUGUUGGCUUAGAAGCAGCCAUCAUUUAAAGAAAGCGUAAUAGCUCACUGGUCGAGUCGGCCUGCGCGGAAGAUGUAACGGGGCUAAACCAUGCACCGAAGCUGCGGCAGCGACACUCAGGUGUUGUUGGGUAGGGGAGCGUUCUGUAAGCCUGCGAAGGUGGCCUGUGAGGGUUGCUGGAGGUAUCAGAAGUGCGAAUGCUGACAUAAGUAACGAUAAAGCGGGUGAAAAGCCCGCUCGCCGGAAGACCAAGGGUUCCUGUCCAACGUUAAUCGGGGCAGGGUGAGUCGACCCCUAAGGCGAGGCCGAAAGGCGUAGUCGAUGGGAAACGGGUUAAUAUUCCCGUACUUGGUGUUACUGCGAAGGGGGGACGGAGAAGGCUAUGUUGGCCGGGCGACGGUUGUCCCGGUUUAAGCGUGUAGGUGUGUGUUCCAGGUAAAUCCGGUUCACUUUAACACUGAGGCGUGAUGACGAGGCACUACGGUGCUGAAGCAACAAAUGCCCUGCUUCCAGGAAAAGCCUCUAAGCAUCAGGUAACAUCAAAUCGUACCCCAAACCGACACAGGUGGUCAGGUAGAGAAUACCAAGGCGCUUGAGAGAACUCGGGUGAAGGAACUAGGCAAAAUGGUGCCGUAACUUCGGGAGAAGGCACGCUGACAUGUAGGUGAAGUGAUUUACUCAUGGAGCUGAAGUCAGUCGAAGAUACCAGCUGGCUGCAACUGUUUAUUAAAAACACAGCACUGUGCAAACACGAAAGUGGACGUAUACGGUGUGACGCCUGCCCGGUGCCGGAAGGUUAAUUGAUGGGGUCAGCGCAAGCGAAGCUCCUGAUCGAAGCCCCGGUAAACGGCGGCCGUAACUAUAACGGUCCUAAGGUAGCGAAAUUCCUUGUCGGGUAAGUUCCGACCUGCACGAAUGGCGUAAUGAUGGCCAGGCUGUCUCCACCCGAGACUCAGUGAAAUUGAACUCGCUGUGAAGAUGCAGUGUACCCGCGGCAAGACGGAAAGACCCCGUGAACCUUUACUAUAGCUUGACACUGAACAUUGAGCCUUGAUGUGUAGGAUAGGUGGGAGGCUUUGAAGCGUGGACGCCAGUCUGCGUGGAGCCGACCUUGAAAUACCACCCUUUAAUGUUUGAUGUUCUAACGUGGACCCGU
RNAcentral lists this ribosomal RNA (1965 nucleotides) under Salmonella enterica. Its description in RNAcentral is "partial 23S ribosomal RNA". It matches the Rfam family "Bacterial large subunit ribosomal RNA", at positions 390 to 2236 of the family's 2925-position model. Lineage: Bacteria; Pseudomonadati; Pseudomonadota; Gammaproteobacteria; Enterobacterales; Enterobacteriaceae. The record is from RNAcentral.